This 253-nucleotide long non-coding RNA is filed under the name Olea europaea (common olive). Its description in RNAcentral is "long non-coding RNA (OEUR_LNC009744)". The record is from RNAcentral. Lineage: Eukaryota; Viridiplantae; Streptophyta; Magnoliopsida; Lamiales; Oleaceae.
UAAUCAACAACUAUAAUAAAUAAAUGGAUUACAAGAAUUCAACAAGAGAACACAAGGAAGGCAAAAGUCCAACCAAUAAUAUGAAUCUAUUACGAAAUAUAUAGACUGAAAUUCGAAAUUAGGUAGCUAAUUACAGCAAUAAAAGGUCAAAAAUCAGCUAAACCAACAAUUCCUAUCCCCACAUAAAUAAUGCAAUUGACAAACAUAUCCAAAACUCCAAUAAAAUCUUCCAAUUCAGUAUCCUGUGGGGAAC